UUAAGCGACUAAGCGUACACGGUGGAUGCCCUGGCAGUCAGAGGCGAUGAAGGACGUGCUAAUCUGCGAUAAGCGUCGGUAAGGUGAUAUGAACCGUUAUAACCGGCGAUUUCCGAAUGGGGAAACCCAGUGUGAUUCGUCACACUAUCAUUAACUGAAUCCAUAGGUUAAUGAGGCGAACCGGGGGAACUGAAACAUCUAAGUACCCCGAGGAAAAGAAAUCAACCGAGAUUCCCCCAGUAGCGGCGAGCGAACGGGGAGCAGCCCAGAGCCUGAAUCAGUGUGUGUGUUAGUGGAAGCGUCUGGAAAGGCGCGCGAUACAGGGUGACAGCCCCGUACACAAAAAUGCACAUAUUGUGAGCUCGAUGAGUAGGGCGGGACACGUGGUAUCCUGUCUGAAUAUGGGGGGACCAUCCUCCAAGGCUAAAUACUCCUGACUGACCGAUAGUGAACCAGUACCGUGAGGGAAAGGCGAAAAGAACCCCGGCGAGGGGAGUGAAAAAGAACCUGAAACCGUGUACGUACAAGCAGUGGGAGCCUCUUUAUGGGGUGACUGCGUACCUUUUGUAUAAUGGGUCAGCGACUUAUAUUCUGUAGCAAGGUUAACCGAAUAGGGGAGCCGAAGGGAAACCGAGUCUUAACUGGGCGUUAAGUUGCAGGGUAUAGACCCGAAACCCGGUGAUCUAGCCAUGGGCAGGUUGAAGGUUGGGUAACACUAACUGGAGGACCGAACCGACUAAUGUUGAAAAAUUAGCGGAUGACUUGUGGCUGGGGGUGAAAGGCCAAUCAAACCGGGAGAUAGCUGGUUCUCCCCGAAAGCUAUUUAGGUAGCGCCUCGUGAAUUCAUCUCCGGGGGUAGAGCACUGUUUCGGCAAGGGGGUCAUCCCGACUUACCAACCCGAUGCAAACUGCGAAUACCGGAGAAUGUUAUCACGGGAGACACACGGCGGGUGCUAACGUCCGUCGUGAAGAGGGAAACAACCCAGACCGCCAGCUAAGGUCCCAAAGUCAUGGUUAAGUGGGAAACGAUGUGGGAAGGCCCAGACAGCCAGGAUGUUGGCUUAGAAGCAGCCAUCAUUUAAAGAAAGCGUAAUAGCUCACUGGUCGAGUCGGCCUGCGCGGAAGAUGUAACGGGGCUAAACCAUGCACCGAAGCUGCGGCAGCGACACUAUGUGUUGUUGGGUAGGGGAGCGUUCUGUAAGCCUGUGAAGGUGUGCUGUGAGGUAUGCUGGAGGUAUCAGAAGUGCGAAUGCUGACAUAAGUAACGAUAAAGCGGGUGAAAAGCCCGCUCGCCGGAAGACCAAGGGUUCCUGUCCAACGUUAAUCGGGGCAGGGUGAGUCGACCCCUAAGGCGAGGCCGAAAGGCGUAGUCGAUGGGAAACAGGUUAAUAUUCCUGUACUUGGUGUUACUGCGAAGGGGGGACGGAGAAGGCUAUGUUGGCCGGGCGACGGUUGUCCCGGUUUAAGCGUGUAGGCUGGUUUUCCAGGCAAAUCCGGAAAAUCAAGGCUGAGGCGUGAUGACGAGGCACUACGGUGCUGAAGCAACAAAUGCCCUGCUUCCAGGAAAAGCCUCUAAGCAUCAGGUAACAUCAAAUCGUACCCCAAACCGACACAGGUGGUCAGGUAGAGAAUACCAAGGCGCUUGAGAGAACUCGGGUGAAGGAACUAGGCAAAAUGGUGCCGUAACUUCGGGAGAAGGCACGCUGAUAUGUAGGUGAAGUCCCUUGCGGAUGGAGCUGAAAUCAGUCGAAGAUACCAGCUGGCUGCAACUGUUUAUUAAAAACACAGCACUGUGCAAACACGAAAGUGGACGUAUACGGUGUGACGCCUGCCCGGUGCCGGAAGGUUAAUUGAUGGGGUUAGCGGUAACGCGAAGCUCUUGAUCGAAGCCCCGGUAAACGGCGGCCGUAACUAUAACGGUCCUAAGGUAGCGAAAUUCCUUGUCGGGUAAGUUCCGACCUGCACGAAUGGCGUAAUGAUGGCCAGGCUGUCUCCACCCGAGACUCAGUGAAAUUGAACUCGCUGUGAAGAUGCAGUGUACCCGCGGCAAGACGGAAAGACCCCGUGAACCUUUACUAUAGCUUGACACUGAACAUUGAGCCUUGAUGUGUAGGAUAGGUGGGAGGCUUUGAAGUGUGGACGCCAGUCUGCAUGGAGCCGACCUUGAAAUACCACCCUUUAAUGUUUGAUGUUCUAACGUUGGCCCCUAAUCGGGGUUGCGGACAGUGUCUGGUGGGUAGUUUGACUGGGGCGGUCUCCUCCUAAAGAGUAACGGAGGAGCACGAAGGUUGGCUAAUCCUGGUCGGACAUCAGGAGGUUAGUGCAAUGGCAUAAGCCAGCUUGACUGCGAGCGUGACGGCGCGAGCAGGUGCGAAAGCAGGUCAUAGUGAUCCGGUGGUUCUGAAUGGAAGGGCCAUCGCUCAACGGAUAAAAGGUACUCCGGGGAUAACAGGCUGAUACCGCCCAAGAGUUCAUAUCGACGGCGGUGUUUGGCACCUCGAUGUCGGCUCAUCACAUCCUGGGGCUGAAGUAGGUCCCAAGGGUAUGGCUGUUCGCCAUUUAAAGUGGUACGCGAGCUGGGUUUAGAACGUCGUGAGACAGUUCGGUCCCUAUCUGCCGUGGGCGCUGGAGAACUGAGGGGGGCUGCUCCUAGUACGAGAGGACCGGAGUGGACGCAUCACUGGUGUUCGGGUUGUCAUGCCAAUGGCACUGCCCGGUAGCUAAAUGCGGAAGAGAUAAGUGCUGAAAGCAUCUAAGCACGAAACUUGCCCCGAGAUGAGUUCUCCCUGACCCUUUAAGGGUCCUGAAGGAACGUUGAAGACGACGACGUUGAUAGGCCGGGUGUGUAAGCGCAGCGAUGCGUUGAGCUAACCGGUACUAAUGAACCGUGAGGCUUAACCUU
RNAcentral lists this ribosomal RNA (2902 nucleotides) under Escherichia coli PCN033. Its description in RNAcentral is "bacterial LSU rRNA". It matches the Rfam family "Bacterial large subunit ribosomal RNA". Lineage: Bacteria; Pseudomonadati; Pseudomonadota; Gammaproteobacteria; Enterobacterales; Enterobacteriaceae. The record is from RNAcentral.